Molecule: long non-coding RNA, 260 nt
Filed under: Lathyrus oleraceus (garden pea)
Lineage: Eukaryota; Viridiplantae; Streptophyta; Magnoliopsida; Fabales; Fabaceae
Description: Pisum sativum (pea) long non-coding RNA (PSAT_LNC031692)
Source: RNAcentral
AAACAGAUGCAGCAAUCGGUUGUGGAAUGUGCGUGGAGUGGUUCUUGAAGCUCGAAAAUCUCCGAAUUGAACAAGUUCUUGGACUGUUAUAGGAGAUGCAGGUGGAUUCUACAGUUGCGAUUUGUGGAUGAUUCUUGAGUUUUACCUGCAAACAGAAACUCCAAAACACCUAACAAUGAUGAACAUGCAGAGAAUUAUCACCAAGAUCCAUGGAAAUUGCUCAAUUGAUGCAAAGAGUAUAUUGAAGUUUUUGAGCAAAA